UUGCUAGCAAGAUUAGCGCGAGUG
This 24-nucleotide unclassified non-coding RNA is filed under the name Mus musculus (house mouse). Its description in RNAcentral is "oocyte_clustered_small_RNA5035". Lineage: Eukaryota; Metazoa; Chordata; Mammalia; Rodentia; Muridae. The record is from RNAcentral.